Molecule: long non-coding RNA, 1570 nt
Organism: Monodelphis domestica (gray short-tailed opossum)
Lineage: Eukaryota; Metazoa; Chordata; Mammalia; Didelphimorphia; Didelphidae
Source: Ensembl
UAAAUAGUUACAUGAAUUUUACACAUGAGGAACUGUGACCCUGAGAGAUUGUGAAUUUUAAAAGUCUCCAUUUUGGUCUAGCACCCAAAAAAUUGUGCACACCCACACUACACGGGCAUGCGCUAGUCAAUGACAAAUCAGAAAUAACUAACUGCCCACCUGGGCUGUCCUAAGCCAAGCUAGAGCCAACCAUUGGAUUUGUGAGACACAGGAAGUGAGGUAGGGAACAGCCUCUGAGAUUCGCGGGACUUCCUGUGGGGAGAGCGAGAGGGGGUUGGUGUUAGGAGCUUGGAGAGGGAGGACGCCCGCAGACAGCUUUCCUUCAGAUGGGUCACGAAGGUCAGAUCUUUGAGAUUAUCCAGUUCAAUUGCUCUCCCAAAUUAUAAGAGAAGGAACCUGAGAUCUAAGGAGGGAAAAUGAUCAUCAAUGGCAAUUUCCAGUUCUAUAAAUAUUUCCCAGAAUUCCCUGGUGGACAGCCGAGAGCUUGUUGACUGCCCUGUGGUAUGUGAGCAAUUUGGAUCAAGUGUUAAAACCCAAGGCUGAGACAGACGGACGAACAGACAUCUGGCUCUUGCGAACAGUGCUAUUGACACAGCACAGUGACCCUGCUCCUUCUGCCAGGUCUUUCUUUCACACAAGGCCAUUUGUUUUCCUCUCAGUCCCCAUGGUGGUAUGGCUUUUUAUUGCAGAAUUAGCAGGCCAAGGUUACAGCUGUGUUGGCUUUCCAGGAGGAAUCAGCAGCCAAAUGAGGAAAAGUAAUCCUUGGAGUUGCAGCUGUCUCACAGUCAACUGAAGUGAGGAGCCCGAGAAGAAUAAGCAAGUGAGUGGGUGCAGAGAGGAGAAAAAUCAGAUUUGACUCUCUCGUGCCCCAAACACUCCCUACCUUUGCUUCCUUCCUCCAGCCUGGCAGCAAACACCAUCACUUAGUGAAGCAUCUGUCUUCUUCCAGGGAAAGGAAAACAUGUUUUCCCAGUAAAUAUUUAGAGAGUGUUUCCUGCUUGCAGAACCACUGAGGAUGGGUGUUUGUAUGUAGUUCUGUCUCCUGUGGUCAACGAGGCAACCCCCCCCCCCCAAUUUUUAAACUGAAUGGCUUAUGUGUGUGAAGGAAGCCCCAAAAGUUGACAGAUGCCUGGCCGGCUCCCAUAUUGGUGAUGCCAAUAGCUUAAGCCUGGGAAUCGUUGUGUUCCAAGGAGUGAUUCAGAAGCCACAGAAGAACCUCUCUAAUGUAUGAGUAUGAAAAAAAAAAUGAUGAACUUCCCUGAUGAGGCAGAUUAACUUUGUGUAAUUCAAAUCAACUACUAUUUCUUAAUUUAAUUCAGCUUAAUUUAAUAAGCAUUUAUUAAACAUUUAGUAAUGACUAGUGAGAACAUUCUUGUUGUGCAACCAUUUAUGCCAGAUUGCUAGUGACCUGGUAGACUAUAUCAUACCAAUUCUGUCCAUGGUGUGUCCUUGGCAUUGGUUUUGGAGUUGUCUUCCAUUUCCUGUUCCAGUGAAUUAAAGCAAAUGGAGGUUUAUGUGACUUGAAAAGGGUUACACAACUAAUAAAUGUCUGAAGUUGGAUCUGAACUCA